AGUUUGAUCAUGGCUCAGGAUGAACGCUGGCGGCGUGCCUAAUACAUGCAAGUCGAGCGAAUGGAUUGAGAGCUUGCUCUCAAGAAGUUAGCGGCGGACGGGUGAGUAACACGUGGGUAACCUGCCCAUAAGACUGGGAUAACUCCGGGAAACCGGGGCUAAUACCGGAUAAUAUUUUGAACUGCAUGGUUCGAAAUUGAAAGGCGGCUUCGGCUGUCACUUAUGGAUGGACCCGCGUCGCAUUAGCUAGUUGGUGAGGUAACGGCUCACCAAGGCAACGAUGCGUAGCCGACCUGAGAGGGUGAUCGGCCACACUGGGACUGAGACACGGCCCAGACUCCUACGGGAGGCAGCAGUAGGGAAUCUUCCGCAAUGGACGAAAGUCUGACGGAGCAACGCCGCGUGAGUGAUGAAGGCUUUCGGGUCGUAAAACUCUGUUGUUAGGGAAGAACAAGUGCUAGUUGAAUAAGCUGGCACCUUGACGGUACCUAACCAGAAAGCCACGGCUAACUACGUGCCAGCA
Molecule: ribosomal RNA, 523 nt
Filed under: Bacillus cereus
Lineage: Bacteria; Bacillati; Bacillota; Bacilli; Caryophanales; Bacillaceae
Description: bacterial SSU rRNA
Rfam family: Bacterial small subunit ribosomal RNA
Source: RNAcentral